UAAAAAAAUGACCCUUUAAUGUUUUGUAUCUCAUUUUUGAAUUGAGAGACGUGGCUACCUUUCAGGGCACAGUAAGAAGGCAGCCUCCUGCGAACCAGGAAGAGGGGCCUCACCAUGAACCAAGUUGUCUGGCACCAUGAUCUCAGACUUCCAGCCUCCAGAACGGUGUAAUAAUUUUAAACUGUGAAAACAUCACACCAACUCAAAUGGGCUGCAAACCCAAUAUUAACCCUGGUAGACCCCACUGCAGGGACCUGGGCUGCCAGGUGAACACUCAGCUUUGUGCAGGGCUUGGGGGACAGCCUCUCCUGUCAUCUCCAGUGAAAUGCACUCUGAGAAUGCAAGACAAGUCACUCCCAAAAACGGAAUCACAAAUGCGGUAUGCAAAUCGUCACAACAGAAUAUUUUCACAACCACAACAAAGUCCAUUAAUACUCAAGAUGCCACAGCUGUUCAGAUUGCAACUGUCACCCUAUACUUUUCGUUUUGAAAGUUGAAUUCAUCAGAGCAACCUCACUGUCCUCACUGACUGACCUUAUAACUGGUAAAUGUUGUCAGUUUAAAGUCAUAAGAUAAAUGUGAGAAUAAACCAUCACUUCUCUGUUUUGUAUAUUGGAGCAGGGUGGUUUAGCUAUGUAAAAAUUUUAUUUUUGAAAAGACUUCAUUUUGCAGAUGGGAAAACAAACCCAAAGAGAGGUGAGUGUAUCACACUGUCCUGUGAGUAUCAUCCCUUCUCAAUAGGCAGAAACCAGGUGCCCAGCACAUAGCAGACACUCCACAAAUGCCCUAGGGAAGGAAGAACCGCUCCCAGGCACCACAGCCAGGAAGGGGGCAUGCCUCGAACACACGCCUCCCUACUCCCAGCCCACUGCUGGUUUUCAGACUCUGCCGCCUUCCCUCCUUUCCUAGAAAUGACAAUACAGCCCACACUCAGCAUCACAAGGAGGGAGAGAGGGCAAGGCAAGUGCAGUAUAAGAGCCAGGGUGCCUUCCCUCUUCCUCAAGAAAAUACUAGAAGCCAAGCACACCCUCCACCCUGAGCGCCAGUGUGGGAUGGGUGCUAUAUGGACGGGAAGAGCUGCUGUCUGCACUCUAGGAAACAAGGGUCCCCCGCGCUCACCUGUAGAUUCAGCAAGAGAGCAGGGGUGAUUGUGCCUAUCGAAGGGAAGCAACCAAUUGUCAACUAUUUUAGAAACAGCCAAACAGAAUGCAUAACUACAGGAUAAGUGGAGUGAUGGUUAAUAUUGAGUGUCAACUCGAUUGGACAGAAGGAUAGAAAGUAUUGUUCCUGAGUGUGUCUGUGAGGAUCUUACCAAAGGAGAUUCACAUUUCAGUCAGUGGACUGGGAGAGGCAGACCUGCCCUCGGUGUGGGUGGGCACCAUCUCAUCAGCUGCCAGCACAGCUAGAAUAAAGAAGGCAGA
This 1421-nucleotide long non-coding RNA is filed under the name Homo sapiens (human). RNAcentral's name for it is "JAKMIP1 antisense RNA 1 (JAKMIP1-AS1)". The record is from RNAcentral. Lineage: Eukaryota; Metazoa; Chordata; Mammalia; Primates; Hominidae.